RNAcentral lists this transfer RNA (74 nucleotides) under Phytophthora infestans T30-4. It matches the Rfam family "tRNA". Rfam says of the family: Transfer RNA (tRNA) molecules are approximately 80 nucleotides in length. The record is from Rfam by way of RNAcentral. Lineage: Eukaryota; Oomycota; Peronosporomycetes; Peronosporales; Peronosporaceae.
CCCCCUAUCGCUUAAGUGAUAGAGCACCCGCUUAGUAAAGCGGAAGGUCGGUAGUUCAAUCCUGCCUGGGGGCA